GACGAACGCUGGCGGCGUGCCUAACACAUGCAAGUCGAACGCUUCUUUCCUUCCUUGUGCUUGCUCUCAAUUGGCGAGAGGGGUGGUGGACGGUUGGGUAACAUCCGGUUAACCUACCUAUCAUAGGGGGAUCACACUUGGAAACAGGUUCUAAUACCGCAUAACAGUUUAUGCCGCAUGGCAUUCGAGCGAUAGGGUCUUUCGGGGGUUGCUUAUGGAUGUACCUGGGGUGCAUUAGCUAGUUGGUGGGGUAAGGGCCUACCAAGGCGACGAUGCAUAGCCGACCUGAGAGGGUGAUCGGCCACACUGGGACUGAGACACGGCCCAGACUCCUACGGGAGGCAGCAGUAGGGAAUCUUCGGCAAUGGACGAAAGUCUGACCGAGCAACGCCGCGUGAGUGAAGAAGGCUUUCGGAUCGUAAAGCUCUGUUGUGAGAGAAGAACAAGGACGUCAGUAAAUGAACGGCGCAUGACGGUAUCGAACCAGAAAGCAACGGCUAACUACGUG
Molecule: ribosomal RNA, 508 nt
Filed under: uncultured bacterium
Lineage: Bacteria
Description: partial 16S ribosomal RNA
Rfam family: Bacterial small subunit ribosomal RNA
Source: RNAcentral